This 486-nucleotide unclassified non-coding RNA is filed under the name Hevea brasiliensis (rubber tree). The record is from RNAcentral. Lineage: Eukaryota; Viridiplantae; Streptophyta; Magnoliopsida; Malpighiales; Euphorbiaceae.
UAGUAGACUUGUAGUUAAAACUAAUGUCAAUAGAGUUUCUAGCUUAUUAUGUAUGAACACCUUGCUAGAAAGCUACCAUAAUAGGUACUAAUAUCAUAGUUUAAGCAUGCAUUUUAUAAUAAAAGGAGUCCACUAAAGCAGUAGGUCAAAACCUCCUCCACAGCCAACCAAUCAGGUUGGGUUCCUCUGACAAAUUAUGAUUGUCAACCCUAUGAUAAGGGAUAAGGCAUAUCAGACAAGGAUCUUAUCAGAAAAAUUAUGAUCUUAUUAUGAAAAUUUAACUCUCAAAAUUUACUUAGCCAACUCAAAUAAUUCCACUACCUCAAUGAGUCACAUAUUCAUAUGUAAUCAUCUUUGCACAAAUAUAUAUGUAAUCAUCUUCAUAAUAUCUUUGGGAAUUUAAAAAGGGAGCAAUAUUGCCUAGAGAACAUUUUAAGGGGAAAAAAACAAAUGUUAAAAAUACCUUCUUCCAGAGAUAUCCAUGAG